UACGGGGGGGAGCAAGCGUUGUUCGGAUUUACUGGGCGUAAAGGGCGCGUAGGCGGUCGUGACAAGUCACUUGUGAAAUCUCCGGGCUUAACUCGGAACGGUCAAGUGAUACUGUCGGACUAGAGUACAGAAGGGGCAACUGGAAUUCUCGGUGUAGCGGUGAAAUGCGUAGAUAUCGAGAGGAACACCUGCGGCGAAGGCGGGUUGCUGGGCUGAUACUGACGCUG
Molecule: ribosomal RNA, 227 nt
Filed under: uncultured bacterium
Lineage: Bacteria
Description: partial 16S ribosomal RNA
Rfam family: Bacterial small subunit ribosomal RNA
Source: RNAcentral